This 425-nucleotide long non-coding RNA is filed under the name Phoenix dactylifera (date palm). Its description in RNAcentral is "long non-coding RNA (PDAC_LNC016003)". Lineage: Eukaryota; Viridiplantae; Streptophyta; Magnoliopsida; Arecales; Arecaceae. The record is from RNAcentral.
UUGCACUAAUUCCUGCACACACGGCAGGGCUUUUCAGAACACCCUUAGCAUUACUCAUCAUGGAACAUAGCAGAACAUCUCAUAUAAGAGAAGCUGUACCAAGAGAAUAAGAGGAAAGCUUGCAGGUUCAUUCAGGGGUAAGGGUAGUUACCUCCUUCAAGGAGAACUGGUCAAGAAAAGAGAGUCACCCAGGUUAUAAAACUACAAGCCAAAAGCCAUUACAGAUACCCAUACCUCCCUUUAACAGAAACAAGACAGACAAGAAUAGACCUUGUUCCUUUAUUGACCCAAAAGAAAACUUAUUAUUCCACUCAUUGUCCCUCAAAGCCACAGAGACUUCGAUGGAUAGCAAGUCUGGAGCAUUGCAGUUCUUAAGCACUUAAGCAGAAGAGGAGUUCAGCUUCUUCUGCUUCCUUCUGCGAAGG